Molecule: ribosomal RNA, 429 nt
Filed under: Gemmatimonadota bacterium
Lineage: Bacteria; Pseudomonadati; Gemmatimonadota
Description: Gemmatimonadetes bacterium partial 16S ribosomal RNA
Rfam family: Bacterial small subunit ribosomal RNA
Source: RNAcentral
UAGGGAAUCUUCGGCAAUGGACGAAAGUCUGACCGCGCAACGCCGCGUGAGUGAAGAAGGUUUUCGGAUCGUAAAACUCUGUUGUUAGAGAAGAACAAGGACGUUAGUAACUGAACGUCCCCUGACGGUAUCUAACCAGAAAGCCACGGCUAACUACGUGCCAGCAGCCGCGGUAAUACGUAGGUGGCAAGCGUUGUCCGGAUUUAUUGGGCGUAAAGCGAGCGCAGGCGGUUUCUUAAGUCUGAUGUGAAAGCCCCCGGCUCAACCGGGGAGGGUCAUUGGAAACUGGGAGACUUGAGUGCAGAAGAGGAGAGUGGAAUUCCAUGUGUAGCGGUGAAAUGCGUAGAUAUAUGGAGGAACACCAGUGGCGAAGGCGGCUCUCUGGUCUGUAACUGACGCUGAGGCUCGAAAGCGUGGGGAGCAAACAGG